GUAUCUAUCUUGUCUUUUGAUUAAGAUAAAGUAUAGUAUUUGUUCUUAGCAGUUUAACAUUUGGUAUGUGGAGGAUCAUAUGUCCAUGUUAAAUUAUUUUUUUUGUGUGUAAAGUCCACCACACUAGCUUAUCACUAGACUCUGACGUGUUGUCACCCAUUGCAUUGUUGUAUAUUUGUGUGUCGUCGUAACACACAACAU
Zea mays is the source of this 201-nucleotide non-coding RNA. The record is from Rfam. Lineage: Eukaryota; Viridiplantae; Streptophyta; Magnoliopsida; Poales; Poaceae.